RNAcentral lists this ribosomal RNA (496 nucleotides) under Ceriporiopsis resinascens var. pseudogilvescens. Its description in RNAcentral is "SSU rRNA". It matches the Rfam family "Bacterial small subunit ribosomal RNA", at positions 413 to 941 of the family's 1533-position model. The record is from RNAcentral. Lineage: Eukaryota; Fungi; Basidiomycota; Agaricomycetes; Polyporales; Meruliaceae.
GAAAUCAUAGAGUUUCUUAAAACUCAUGAUGUCGUAAGGGAAAAUAAUGAUAAUACCUUACUAAUAGUGUCGUCCAAAUCUGGUGCCAGAAGACUCGGUAAGACCAGAGACGCAAACGUUAAUCAUCAUAACCAGGCGUAAAGGGUUUGUAGGCCGUUCUGAAUUGAAGGGAGAUUAAAUUACUAUUAAUUAAAGCUAGAUGCAAAUAGAGGAUAUUUACGAAAUAAUGCUUGGUUGAGGGCUGAUAUCCGAGGACACCAAGUGGAGUACCAAUGGCGUAAGCAUUUAUCCAUUAAUGAUUGACGCUGAGAAACGAAGGUGAGGAUAGGAAAUAGGAUUAGAUACCCAGUAACCCCUCUCUGUCAACGAUGAAUGGUAUUUGUUAGUCUAAACGACUAGUGACGAAGUUAACACGUUAACCAUUUCGCCUUGUGAGUACGACUGCAAAGUUGAAAACAAAAAAAUUAGUCGGUCUCGGAGCAAACGAAGUGAAGCA